CUAUAAUGGCAGUCGAGCGGAGCCCGAGGGGAGCUUGCUCUUUAUCAGGCUCACCGCCGGACGGUUGAGUAACACUUGGGAAACCGGCCCGUAAGACCGGAUUAACUCGGGAAAACCGGGGCUAAUACCGAAUAACACCGGGGGCCGCAUGGUUUCCGGUUGAAAGGCGGCCUUUGGCUGCCACUUACGGAUGGGCCCGCGGCGCAUUACCUAGUGGGCGGGGUAACGGCCCACCAAGGCAACAAUGCGUACCCGGCCUGAAAGGGUGGACGGCCACACUGGAACUGAAACACGGCCCAAACUCCUACGGAAGGCACCAGUAGGGAAUCUUCCGCAUGGGGCAAAAGCCUGACGAACCGACCCCCCGUGAGCAAGGAAGGCCUUCGGGUCGAAAAGUUCUGUUGUCAGGAAAAAAGGCGCGCCGUUCAAACAGGGCGGCGCGUGGACGGUACCGGACAAGAAACCCCCGGUUAAUUACUGGCCACCACCCGCGGUAAAACGUAGGGGGCAAGCGUUGUCCGGAAUUACGGGCCGUAAAGCGCGCGCAGGCGGUCCUUUAAUUCUAAUGUGAAAUUCGGCGGCUCAACGGCGGUGGUGCAUUGAAAACUGGGGAACUGGAUGGCGAAAAAGGGAAGCGAAAUUCCCGUGGUAGCGUUGAAUUGCGUAAAGAUCGGAAGGAACACCAGGGGCAAAGGCGGUUCUCUGGUCCGCACUUGACGCUGAGGCGCGAAAGCGUGAGAAGCGAACAGGGAUUAGAUACCCGGGUAGUCCACGCCGUAAACGAUGAAGUGCUAGUUGUUAAAGGGGAAUUGGACCCUUUAUGGCUGCAGCUACCGCAUUAAGCACUUCGGCCGGGGGAAGAACGGCCGCAAGGCUGAAAACUCAAAGGGAAUUGACGGGGGGCCCGCACAGCCGGUGGAAGCANNGUGCUUAAUU
Molecule: ribosomal RNA, 936 nt
Filed under: thermophilic bacterium TP-2
Lineage: Bacteria
Description: bacterial SSU rRNA
Rfam family: Bacterial small subunit ribosomal RNA
Source: RNAcentral